CGGUAGGUACUCGAGUGGCGAACGGGUGAGUAACACGUGGGUGAUCUGCCCUGCACUCUGGGAUAAGCCUGGGAAACUGGGUCUAAUACCGGAUAGGACCGCACUUUAGUGUGUGUGGUGGAAAGUUUUUUCGGUGUAGGAUGAGCCCGCGGCCCAUCAGCUUGUUGGUGGGGUAAUGGCCUACCAAGGCGGCGACGGGUAGCCGGACUGAGAGGUUGGUCGGCCACAUUGGGACUGAGAUACGGCCCAG
Molecule: ribosomal RNA, 250 nt
Filed under: uncultured Actinomycetales bacterium
Lineage: Bacteria; Bacillati; Actinomycetota; Actinomycetes; Actinomycetales
Description: partial 16S ribosomal RNA
Rfam family: Bacterial small subunit ribosomal RNA
Source: RNAcentral